UUUGCGAGGGAGGAAAGUUAUGUCCUCUAAUCGCUGUGUCAAGCAGUUUAGAUAAAGAAUUGACGAUUUGUCGUGAGAUUAGGUUGAAACCUGCGUUGGUGACUGAAGAUCAUAAAAGAGGUUAAGAUACGGAUAUGAAUCCGUUCUCGAAUCCUCGCCUGAAAAUUCUUUUGGCCACGGUAGUUAGCUUGCACGUUGCUGCCUUUUUUGUCAGGCCGAUUUUCUCUCCAAAGAAGAGUAGCGGAGAAAAUUCGAGACUCAGAGUGCAGCCGGACUAUCUAAACCUAGCAGAAGACAGAGAGCCACAAACGCAACACGCGGUGCGCGAGGAUCGCGUCAGCUGAUCCUCGGUGAUCGUCAUGAGGAUUAGAAUUAGAAGGCCUCGAUAUUUUCGCAAGGGUGAUAUAUUCAUUGCUAUUGUAUUGGGAACCUUGAGCGGUUUCUACAUCUUUGAUUCUGUGCUUAGAGAAAACGCCACGAAGAUCAAGGAGCUAAAAACUGCACCGGACGCGACUGUUGAAACCUAAUUUUACACGAGUGGUACGUUCAUUUUUGAAAAGAUGUUGGAGCGGUAUAAAAAGUUUGCUAGCGGACCAACAGGCUUGGUGGUAGCUGGAAUAAGUAUAAUGACUAGUAUUAUAGUGGGAUGGAAGUGGGGCAUUUCACCGAUUUUAAAGAAACGGAAACAAGAGCAAGCCGCAGAAUUCGCUGAAUUCAUUUUUCAAGAGCGUAGGAAGAAGAAUGGCGAAAAUGUACAACAAUGAAUAUUUACAAUACAAAUCGGAUGUGUAAAUUAAAAUACCACUUCCCGAAGUUUCAGUUUGUUGUACGCUGUGUUGGGCGAAGGAAUGGUGCGCGGUGUACACUUGAGCAAAUAAAUAAAU
This is a long non-coding RNA of Diprion similis, 884 nucleotides long. RefSeq lists it as uncharacterized. The record is from RefSeq and is a predicted model, not a curated record. The transcript is spliced from 3 exons. Lineage: Eukaryota; Metazoa; Arthropoda; Insecta; Hymenoptera; Diprionidae.